This 2094-nucleotide ribosomal RNA is filed under the name bioreactor sludge metagenome. RNAcentral describes it as "bacterial LSU rRNA". It matches the Rfam family "Bacterial large subunit ribosomal RNA", at positions 835 to 2925 of the family's 2925-position model. The record is from RNAcentral.
AAACUCGGUGAUAGCUGGUUCUCCCCGAAAUAUAUUGAGGUAUAGCCUCGGGAAAUUGUCUUGCGGAGGUAGAGCACUGACAGGGCUAGGGGUCUCACCAGAUUACCAAACCCUUUCAAACUCCGAAUGCCGCCAAGAUGUACCCCGGGAGUCAGACGGCGGGUGCGAAGGUCCGUCGUCAAAAGGGAAACAGCCCAGAUCGACAGCUAAGGUCUCCAAAUCCAUGCUCAGUGGUCAAGGUGGUGGAGUUGUUCAGACAGCCAGGACGUUGGCUUAGAAGCAGCCAUCGUUUAAAGAAAGCGUAAUAGCUCACUGGUCUAAUGACUCUGCGCCGAAAAUGUAACGGGGCUAAGCAUGGUACCGAAGCUUCGGGAUCGCUUAGGCGAUCGGUAGGGGAGCGUUCCCUGCGGGCUGAAGGUGUGCCGGAAGGCAUGCUGGACUGCAGGGAAGUGAUUAUGCUGACAUGAGUAACGAUAAAACAGGUGAAAAACCUGUUCGCCGUAAACCCAAGGUUUCCUGGGUAAAGGUAAUCUUCCCAGGGUUAGUCGGUCCCUAAGGCGAGGGCGAAUGCCGUAGCCGAUGGAAAACGGGUUAAUAUUCCCGUACUUGCGCGAGUGUGCGAUGGAGGGACGCAGGAAGGUAGGCAGGCCGGCUGUUGGCUUAGCCGGUGCAAGCAGGUAGGCUUGAGGGUUGGCAAAUCCGCCCUCUUCAAGGCCGAGACGCGAGUCCGUGACCGUAUGGUCUGAAGCUGUUGAGCCUCUACUGCCUAGAAAAGCUCCUAAGUUUAGCGCGUGCGAACCGUACCGGAAACCAACACAGGUGGGUGGGGUGAAUAACCCAAGGCGCUCGAGAGAACUCUGGCCAAGGAACUCGGCAAAAUAACCCCGUAACUUCGGAAGAAGGGGUGCUCUUAUGGGUGAAGGAUUUACUCUCUAAGCCCGCGAGAGCCGCAGAGAAAUGAGGGUGGCGACUGUUUACUAAAAACAUAGGUCUCUGCUAAGUCGCAAGACGACGUAUAGGGACUGACGCCUGCCCGGUGCCGGAAGGUUAAGAGGAGAGGUCAGCGCAAGCGAAGCUUUGAAUCGAAGCCCCGGUAAACGGCGGCCGUAACUAUAACGGUCCUAAGGUAGCGAAAUUCCUUGUCGGGUAAGUUCCGACCUGCACGAAUGGCGUAACGAUCUCCCUACUGUCUCGGCCAGAGACUCGGUGAAAUUGAAGUCGCGGUGAAAAUGCCGUGUACCCGCAGAAAGACGGAAAGACCCUGUGCACCUUUACUAUAGCUUGACAUUGGGUUUUGGGCUUGCAUGUGUAGGAUAGGUGGGAGGCUGUGAACUCUGUACGCCAGUAUGGGGGGAGCCAUCCUUGAAAUACCACCCUUGCAAGUCUAAGGCUCUAAUCCAUACCCGUUAUCCGGGGUGGAGACAGUGUCUGGUGGGUAGUUUGACUGGGGCGGUCGCCUCCCAAACAAUAACGGAGGCACGCAAAGGUUCCCUCAGCCUGAUCGGAAACCAGGCGUCGAGUGCAAACGCAUAAGGGAGCUUGACUGCAAGACAGACAUGUCGAGCAGGGACGAAAGUCGGCGUUAGUGAUCCGGUGGUUCCGCAUGGAAGGGCCAUCGCUCAUUGGAUAAAAGGUACGCCGGGGAUAACAGGCUGAUCGCGCCCAAGAGUUCAUAUCGACGGCGCGGUUUGGCACCUCGAUGUCGGCUCAUCACAUCCUGGGGCUGAAGCAGGUCCCAAGGGUACGGCUGUUCGCCGUUUAAAGUGGUACGCGAGCUGGGUUUAAAACGUCGUGAGACAGUUUGGUCCCUAUCUUCUGUGGGCGUAGGAGACUUGAGAGGGCCUGUCCCUAGUACGAGAGGACCGGGAUGGACGCACCCCUGGUGGUCCUGUUGUCACGCCAGUGGCACAGCAGGGUAGCUAUGUGCGGAAGGGAUAACCGCUGAAAGCAUCUAAGCGGGAAGCCUGCCUCAAGAUAAGGUCUCCCUCUCUUCGGAGCUGAAGGGCCCGGGUAGACAACCCGGUUGAUAGGCUGGAGGUAUACAUGCGGUGACGCAUUCAGCUGACCAGUACUAAUAGCCCGUGCGCCUUGUUU